CUGUGUUCACACGGCGAGACCGCGGACGGCUCAUUAAAUCAGUCGUGGUCCAAAUGGGCCAGUGCAAAUCCUACUUGGAUAACUGUGGUAAUUCCAGAGCUAAUACAUGCAACUGAUAUCCCGAAGGCGGUGUUUGUUCUUGCUUGCCUUGCGCUUGCGCUGCUCUGACGGAUGCUUUUAUUAGACCAAGCCGCUGAGGACUUGAGGGUUCGCGCUCUCUUGUUUGACUCGUGUGAUGGUGACUCUGGAUAACCAAAUUCUGACAAGCGCACGUACUUCUCUUCUGAGCGAGACGGCGCUGCCACUUUCGAGUGUCUGCCUUAUCAGCUAUCAACCGUUCGUUAUGCGCGACCGAUGGCUUUGACGGGUAACGGGGAAUCAGGGUUCGAUUCCGGAGAGGCAGCCUGAGAGACGGCUACCACGUCCAAGGACGGCAGCAGGCACGCAAAUUACCCAAUCCCAGCAAAUGGGGGAGGUAGUGACGAAAUCUAACGAUGCGGGCGCCCUUUCUGGGGCCCCGCAAUCGGAAUGGGCACUUUCUAAACAACCUGUUGAGAACCUACUGAAGGGCAAGUCUGGUGCCAGCAGCCGCGGUAAUUCCAGCUUCAGCAGCAUCUAUUAAAGUUGCUGCGGUUAAAAGGCUCGCAGUUGAAUGUCUGUAUCGAGCGCAGGUCAGGUGGACGUU
Molecule: ribosomal RNA, 685 nt
Filed under: Eulimnogammarus inconspicuous
Lineage: Eukaryota; Metazoa; Arthropoda; Malacostraca; Amphipoda; Eulimnogammaridae
Description: bacterial SSU rRNA
Rfam family: Eukaryotic small subunit ribosomal RNA
Source: RNAcentral